Molecule: ribosomal RNA, 472 nt
Filed under: uncultured bacterium
Lineage: Bacteria
Description: bacterial SSU rRNA
Rfam family: Bacterial small subunit ribosomal RNA
Source: RNAcentral
UGGGGAAUAUUGGACAAUGGGGGCAACCCUGAUCCAGCCAUGCCGCGUGUGUGAAGAAGGUCUUCGGAUUGUAAAGCACUUUAAGUUGGGAGGAAGGGCAGUUACCUAAUACGUAUCUGUUUUGACGUUACCGACAGAAUAAGCACCGGCUAACUCUGUGCCAGCAGCCGCGGUAAUACAGAGGGUGCAAGCGUUAAUCGGAAUUACUGGGCGUAAAGCGCGCGUAGGUGGUUUGUUAAGUUGGAUGUGAAAUCCCCGGGCUCAACCUGGGAACUGCAUUCAAAACUGACAAGCUAGAGUAUGGUAGAGGGUGGUGGAAUUUCCUGUGUAGCGGUGAAACGCGUAGAUAUAGGAAGGAACACCAGUGGCGAAGGCGACCACCUGGACUGAUACUGACACUGAGGUGCGAAAGCGUGGGGAGCAAACAGGAUUAGAUACCCAUGUAGUCCCUGAGCGGGCUGGCAAGGCGCAU